GUGAGGAAUAUUGGUCAAUGGGCGAGAGCCUGAACCAGCCAAGUAGCGUGAAGGAUGACUGCCCUAUGGGUUGUAAACUUCUUUUAUAAAGGAAUAAAGUCGGGUAUGGAUACCCGUUUGCAUGUACUUUAUGAAUAAGGAUCGGCUAACUCCGUGCCAGCAGCCGCGGUAAUACGGAGGAUCCGAGCGUUAUCCGGAUUUAUUGGGUUUAAAGGGAGCGCAGACGGGUCGUUAAGUCAGCUGUGAAAGUUUGGGGCUCAACCUUAAAAUUGCAGUUGAUACUGGCGUCCUUGAGUGCGGUUGAGGUGUGCGGAAUUCGUGGUGUAGCGGUGAAAUGCUUAGAUAUCACGAAGAACUCCGAUUGCGAAGGCAGCCUGCUAAGCUGCAACUGACAUUGAGGCUCGAAAGUGUGGGUAUCAAACAGGAUUAGAAACCCCUGUAGUCC
RNAcentral lists this ribosomal RNA (445 nucleotides) under uncultured bacterium. RNAcentral's name for it is "bacterial SSU rRNA". It matches the Rfam family "Bacterial small subunit ribosomal RNA", at positions 354 to 796 of the family's 1533-position model. The record is from RNAcentral.